UACGGAGGGUGCAAGCGUUAAUCGGAAUUACUGGGCGUAAAGCGCACGCAGGCGGUCUGUCAAGUCGGAUGUGAAAUCCCCGGGCUCAACCUGGGAACUGCAUCCGAAACUGGCAGGCUAGAGUCUUGUAGAGGGGGGUAGAAUUCCAGGUGUAGCGGUGAAAUGCGUAGAGAUCUGGAGGAAUACCGGUGGCGAAGGCGGCCCCCUGGACAACGACUGACGCUCAGGUGCGAAAGUGUGGGGAGCAAACAGGAUUAGAUACCCUGGUAGUCCACGCCGUAAACGAUGUCGACUUGGAGGUGGUGGCCUUGAGGCGUGGCUGCCGGAGCGAACGCGUUAAGUCGACCGCCUGGGGAGUACGGCCGCAAGGUUAAA
Molecule: ribosomal RNA, 375 nt
Filed under: uncultured bacterium
Lineage: Bacteria
Description: bacterial SSU rRNA
Rfam family: Bacterial small subunit ribosomal RNA
Source: RNAcentral